GGGAGAGAGUAGAGUGGUGUUUAGUCCGUACGUGGAAAAACAUAGUCGUGCAUGCACAGACUAGCGGGGAUUAUCUAUCUGUUCUAAAUCUGAUAGAGAAAUGCAGGCAUGAAUAGGAAGUGGAUCUGGAUGUGUAGUGUCCUAGUGCAAGCACAUGCCGGUGAUGGACUACAGACGCACAGACGCUAACCUGGCUUUCUCUGCAGAAGUGUCACCUUAAUCUAGACCACGUCCGCAGAAUGCUGAGUCCUAUUGUUCCCUAUACGAGCAGCCCGAGGAGCCGCUUUAACCCGACUCUUCGGCUCACCUCCUCUCCGCUUUAUCGGUGUGACAGCUACAUGAAAAGAGGGAGAGAAAUCAAACCGCCACACCAUACCGUCAAUUGGAGAUGUAAUUACAUAAUAAUGAACGGAGGCCUUUUUAUGCAUGAAUGGGAUUGUGUGUGUGUCUGUGUGUGUGUGUGUGUGUGUGUGUGUGUGUGUGUGUGUGUUGCAGCAGGCAAAUGGCUGUUCGUCCUGCUCACUUUAUGUUGUUUAAAUACUUUUACACCUAUAUUCACUUGCUGUUGAUUGAUACAGACGAGAAUUGUGUUAUGCAUUAAAAGAAGGACGGUGUCAGGUGUGGUACAUGUUGCAAUUAUCAGUCCUGAUGAUCUCACUUUUGUUCUUAAAGUUAGCGAGGCAGUAGUUGCUCAGAGCAUCUUUUGUGCUGGAAUUUACUUACCGGCUUAAGCCCAGACUUGUCAAUUUAGUCAUUCUGAUAGACGGAUCCUUACUGAACAGUUCUUGACAGGCCACAUUUUUGCCUUGCCCAGAAUGACAUAAUUGCAAUGGAAGCUUUCUUUUUUUCUCCUUUGGUUCUAUAAUGAGCUCAAUUGAGCAAGCUUUUUGCAUCAUUAUAAUGCAGUAAACACAGCAUGAAGCCAUAUAUUUACUCAAUAAACUCUCACUUUGUACUUCACAAGCCCUCUCAGUUUGGGUAUUGAUUUUCGAGAAUGUCACGAAGACUUGGUGGAAUAUCUUGCAUUCCUCAGAGACGCAUCAUAUUUGAGCCUUUGAGCCCGCUCUGAAGUGACCAGUGCAUUUGGACAGAGCCUGCUCAUUGUGUGUUACUGCUCUUUGUUGGCGUUGGCUGAUGAGAACAGGAUGUUCUUCUGAGUGUGUGCGUGUGUUUGUGUUCUUGAGCAUGUAGUGUGAAUGUUAGGACUGCACAUGUGGGUGUUAGAUAUCCCUCAUGUUUAUGCUCUAACCACUUAAACACACGCAGAUUCCUUCCCCAAGACAUUAGCCUAAGACUUAACGGCCAUUUAUCUUUUACAUGUCCUGAUACGUUCUGCUUAGAUUCUCUUUCUCAGAUUUACUCAAUGGUGUACAAGAACUGUACAAUGUGAGGAUAUGAUAUUAAUAUCCCGAUAGUUUACAUAUAGUUUUAUUGUAGGUGACUGCAUAUGAAAAGCAGUUUUUGGGUUCUAGUUUUGUCUUCUCUCCUGUGUUAUUUUAUUUUUAAUUACCACAGACAAGAAUUUCUACACAUUUAGAUAUCCUGAAAACCUGUUUCAUCAGAAAUCACUUAUAAUGCAGGUUUAAGAGCAGUUGUUGUGGCACUAAAUAAACUUCUGUGCAAAUUUUGUCAAGCAUGGUCAUGAAUUUUUCACUCCAAGAUAUUUGUAAAUGGAGCAAAUCUGUAUAAUUCAUCAUUUUAAAG
This is a long non-coding RNA of Ictalurus punctatus (channel catfish), 1704 nucleotides long. Lineage: Eukaryota; Metazoa; Chordata; Actinopteri; Siluriformes; Ictaluridae. The record is from Ensembl.